ACGAGUGGCGAACGGGUGAGUAACGCGUACCCAACCUACCUUGUACAGGAAGAUAGCCCCGGGAAACUGGGAUUAAUACUCCAUAAUGUUUUCGGAUCGCAUGAUCUGAUUAUUAAAGCUCCGGCGGUACAGGAUGGGGGUGCGUCCAAUUAGUUUGUUGGUGGGGUAACGGCCUACCAAGACUACGAUAGGUAGCUGGCGUGAGAGCGCGACCAGCCACACUGGAACUGAGACACGGUCCAG
This 243-nucleotide ribosomal RNA is filed under the name uncultured bacterium. Its description in RNAcentral is "partial 16S ribosomal RNA". It matches the Rfam family "Bacterial small subunit ribosomal RNA", at positions 91 to 334 of the family's 1533-position model. The record is from RNAcentral.